RNAcentral lists this ribosomal RNA (704 nucleotides) under uncultured Bradyrhizobiaceae bacterium. RNAcentral describes it as "bacterial SSU rRNA". It matches the Rfam family "Bacterial small subunit ribosomal RNA", at positions 28 to 776 of the family's 1533-position model. The record is from RNAcentral. Lineage: Bacteria; Pseudomonadati; Pseudomonadota; Alphaproteobacteria; Hyphomicrobiales; Nitrobacteraceae.
AGCGAACGCUGGCGGCAGGCUUAACACAUGCAAGUCGAGCGGGCGUAGCAAUACGUCAGCGGCAGACGGGUGAGUAACGCGUGGGAACGUACCUUUUGGUUCGGAACAACACAGGGAAACUUGUGCUAAUACCGGAUAAGCCCUUACGGGGAAAGAUUUAUCGCCGAAAGAUCGGCCCGCGUCUGAUUAGCUAGUUGGUGAGGUAAUGGCUCACCAAGGCGACGAUCAGUAGCUGGUCUGAGAGGAUGAUCAGCCACAUUGGGACUGAGACACGGCCCAAACUCCUACGGGAGGCAGCAGUGGGGAAUAUUGGACAAUGGGCGCAAGCCUGAUCCAGCCAUGCCGCGUGAGUGAUGAAGGCCCUAGGGUUGUAAAGCUCUUUUGUGCGGGAAGAUAAUGACGGUACCGCAAGAAUAAGCCCCGGCUAACUUCGUGCCAGCAGCCGCGGUAAUACGAAGGGGGCUCGCGUUGCUCGGAAUCACUGGGCGUAAAGGGUGCGUAGGCGGGUCUUUAAGUCAGGGGUGAAAUCCUGGAGCUCAACUCCAGAACUGCCUUUGAUACUGAAGAUCUUGAGUUCGGGAGAGGUGAGUGGAACUGCGAGUGUAGAGGUGAAAUUCGUAGAUAUUCGCAAGAACACCAGUGGCGAAGGCGGCUCACUGGCCCGAUACUGACGCUGAGGCACGAAAGCGUGGGGAGCAAACAGG